This 109-nucleotide unclassified non-coding RNA is filed under the name uncultured fungus. RNAcentral's name for it is "sequence contains ITS1". The record is from RNAcentral. Lineage: Eukaryota; Fungi.
GUAUAAAAAUCACGAGCAUUUUGUCAAACAGGCAAGCGCAAAUGUCAGAGAAGCCUCUCGGCUUCCCCUCUUGCUAUUAUUGAUCCUUCCGCAGGUUCACCUACGGAAA